AUGAACGCUGGCGGCGUGCUUAACCCAUGCCAGUCGAACGAUGAAGCCCAGCUUGCUGGGUGGAUUAGUGGCGAACGGGUGAGUAACACGUGAGUAACCUGCCCUUGACUCUGGGAUAAGCCUGGGAAACUGGGUCUAAUACUGGAUAUGACUUCUCAUCGCAUGGUGGGGGGUGGAAAGAUUUAUUGGUCUUGGAUGGACUCGCGGCCUAUCAGCUUGUUGGUGAGGUAAUGGCUCACCAAGGCGACGACGGGUAGCCGGCCUGAGAGGGUGACCGGCCACACUGGGACUGAGACACGGCCCAGACUCCUACGGGAGGCAGCAGUGGGGAAUAUUGCACAAUGGGCGCAAGCCUGAUGCAGCGACGCCGCGUGAGGGAUGACGGCCUUCGGGUUGUAAACCUCUUUCAGUAGGGAAGAAGCGAGAGUGACGGUACCUGCAGAAGAAGCGCCGGCUAACUACGUG
This 465-nucleotide ribosomal RNA is filed under the name uncultured bacterium. Its description in RNAcentral is "partial 16S ribosomal RNA". It matches the Rfam family "Bacterial small subunit ribosomal RNA", at positions 29 to 507 of the family's 1533-position model. The record is from RNAcentral.